GACGAACGCUGGCGGCGUGCUUAACACAUGCAAGUCGAACGGAAAGGCCCUGCUUUUGUGGGGUGCUCGAGUGGCGAACGGGUGAGUAACACGUGAGUAACCUGCCCUUGACUUUGGGAUAACUUCAGGAAACUGGGGCUAAUACCGGAUAGGAGCUCCUGCUGCAUGGUGGGGGUUGGAAAGUUUCGGCGGUUGGGGAUGGACUCGCGGCUUAUCAGCUUGUUGGUGGGGUAGUGGCUUACCAAGGCUUUGACGGGUAGCCGGCCUGAGAGGGUGACCGGCCACAUUGGGACUGAGAUACGGCGCAGACUCCUACGGGAGGCAGCAGUGGGGAAUAUUGCACAAUGGGCGGAAGCCUGAUGCAGCAACGCCGCGUGCGGGAUGACGGCAUUCGGGUUGUAAACCGCUUUCGCCUGUGACGAAGCGUGAGUGACGGUAAUGGGUAAAGAAGCACCGGCUAACUACGUG
This 468-nucleotide ribosomal RNA is filed under the name uncultured bacterium. RNAcentral describes it as "partial 16S ribosomal RNA". It matches the Rfam family "Bacterial small subunit ribosomal RNA", at positions 28 to 507 of the family's 1533-position model. The record is from RNAcentral.